GAUCAUGGCUCAGGAUGAACGCUAGCUACAGGCUUAACACAUGCAAGUCGAGGGGCAGCAUGGUCUUAGCUUGCUAAGGCUGAUGGCGACCGGCGCACGGGUGAGUAACACGUAUCCAACCUGCCGUCUACUCUUGGCCAGCCUUCUGAAAGUAGAAGUAAUUAACUCCGAGGAGUGGGAUCAUGGUAGUUCACAUCGGUCCCGCAUGUAAAGUUUAAAAGUUCGUUUUCCGG
RNAcentral lists this ribosomal RNA (233 nucleotides) under uncultured bacterium. RNAcentral describes it as "partial 16S ribosomal RNA". It matches the Rfam family "Bacterial small subunit ribosomal RNA", at positions 15 to 218 of the family's 1533-position model. The record is from RNAcentral.